This 410-nucleotide ribosomal RNA is filed under the name uncultured microorganism. Its description in RNAcentral is "bacterial SSU rRNA". It matches the Rfam family "Bacterial small subunit ribosomal RNA", at positions 509 to 917 of the family's 1533-position model. The record is from RNAcentral.
CAGCCGCCGCGGUAAUACGUAGGGUGCGAGCGUUAAUCGGAUUUACUGGGCGUAAAGCGUGCGCAGGCGGCCCGUUAAGACAGGUGUGAAAUCCCUGGGCUCAACCUAGGAAUUGCGCUUGUGACUGGCGGGCUCGAGUACGGUAGAGGGGGGUGGAAUUCCUGGUGUAGCAGUGAAAUGCGUAGAGAUCAGGAGGAACACCGAUGGCGAAGGCAGCCCCCUAGGCCUGUACUGACGCUCAUGCACGAAAGCGUGGGGAGCAAACAGGAUUAGAUACCCUGGUAGUCCACGCCCUAAACGAUGGGUACUAGCCGUUUGGUGCGCGAUAGCGCUGAGUGGCGAAGCUAACGCGUGAAGUACCCCGCCUGGGGAGUACGGCCGCAAGGUUGAAACUUAAAGGAAUUGGCGGG